Long non-coding RNA from Eriocheir sinensis (Chinese mitten crab), 1203 nucleotides. RefSeq lists it as uncharacterized. The record is from RefSeq and is a predicted model, not a curated record. Lineage: Eukaryota; Metazoa; Arthropoda; Malacostraca; Decapoda; Varunidae. The transcript is spliced from 3 exons.
GCUUUGGUAGAGGUCAUGGGUGUUUGGUAAGGCUUUGGUAGAGGCUGUGGGUGUUUGGUAAGGCUUUGGUAGAGGUUGUGGGUGUUUGGUAAGGCUUUGGUAGAGGUUGUGGGUGUUUGGUAAGGCUUUGGUAGAGGUUGUGGGUGUUUGGUAAGGCUUUGGUAGAGGUUGUGGGUGUUUGGUAAGGCUUUGGUAGAGGUUGUGGGUGUUUGGUAAGGCUUUGGUAGAGGUUGUGGGUGUUUGGUAAGGCUUUGGUAGAGGUUGUGGGUGUUUGGUAAGGCUUUGGUAGAGGUUGUGGGUGUUUGGUAAGGCUUUGGUAGAGGUUGUGGGUGUUUGGUAAGGCUUUGGUAGAGGUUGUGGGUGUUUGGUAAGGCUUUGGUAGAGGUUGUGGGUGUUUGGUAAGGCUUUGGUAGAGGUUGUUGUGGGUGUUUUUUAAGGCUUUGGUAGAUAUUGUGGGUGUUUGGUAAGGCGCGGGGUGGCAGCUAUGUUGACUCGGCGAUUGAGAAAUUAUACUCAUUUAAUUAAGGGGCACAUCGCAGCUGCUCCGUGUCACAAGUGUUGAAGGGGCCGGUCUGCCUCGCACUCGUGGACCAAAACAUCAUUCAAACCGCACCAUGUACACUUGCUUAACGCGAUACCAGCGUUACCAAAUGGUUGUAAUUAACAUACCCUCGUAGCUAUUACCGGCUCAAGAGACAUUUAUCCUUAUUUAUACACGUAUCGGCGCUUCAGCUCGCCUGUUUGAGAAGCGUAUAGAAAGCAUAACAUAGAAGUGGUAGGGAUUUCCAUAGAGUGCUUCGUGAUGGUGUAGUCGGUUUUAUACUCCAUCCGUCUACUCGGGAACGUAGAUAUGGCACCUGCGCAUUGUUAGUUCGUGAUUGCGUGAAGAUACAGAUUUUCUUUCAGUGAUGUAUUUGACUGUUUAUGCAUAUAUUUCCAUAGACGGCUUCGUGAUGGUAUAGUCGGUUUUACUCCAUCCGUCUACUCGGGAACGUAUAUAGAUGUGGCACCUGCGCAUCGUUAGUUCGUGAUUGCGUGAAGAUACAGAUUUUCUUUCAGUGAUGUAUUUGAAUGUUUAUGCAUAUAUUUCCAUAGACUGCUUCGUAAUGGUAUAGUCGGUUUUACUCCAUCUGUCUACUCGGAAACGUAUAUAGAUGUGGCACCUGCGCAUUGUUAGUUCGUGAUUGCGUCAAGAUACAGAUU